CAGCCGCCACGGGAACACGUAGGGUGCAAGCGUUAAUCGGAAUUACUGGGCGUAAAGCGUGCGCAGGCGGUUUGUUAAGACAGAUGUGAAAUCCCCGGGCUCAACCUGGGAACUGCAUUUGUGACUGGCAAGCUAGAGUCUGGCAGAGGGGGGUGGAAUUCCGCGUGUAGCAGUGAAAUGCGUAGAUAUGCGGAGGAACACCGAUGGCGAAGGCAGCCCCCUGGGCCAACACUGACGCUCAUGCACGAAAGCGUGGGGAGCAAACAGGAUUAGAGACCCGCGUAGUCCCUGUCUCUUAUAC
This 301-nucleotide ribosomal RNA is filed under the name uncultured bacterium. Its description in RNAcentral is "partial 16S ribosomal RNA". It matches the Rfam family "Bacterial small subunit ribosomal RNA", at positions 509 to 807 of the family's 1533-position model. The record is from RNAcentral.